AUUGAACGCUGGCGGCAGGCCUAACACUUGCAAUUCGAGCGGAUGAAGGGAGCUUGCUCCUGGAUUCAGCGGCGGACGGGUGAGUAAUGCCUAGGAAUCUGCCUGGUAGUGGGGGAUAACUUCCGGAAACGGGCGCUAAUACCGCAUACGUCCUGUGUGAGAAAGUGGGGGAUCUUCGUACCUCACGCUAUCAGAUGAGCCUAGGUCGGAUUAGCUAGUUGGUGGGGUAAAGGCCUACCAAGGCGACGAUCCGUAACUGGUCUGAGAGGAUGAUCAGUCACACUGGAACUGAGAAACGGUCCAGACUCCUAAGGGAGGCAGCAGUGGGGAAUAUUGGACAAUGGGCGAAAGCCUGAUCCAGCCAUGCCGCGUGUGUGAAGAAGGUCUUCGGAUUGUAAAGCAAUUUAAGUUGGGAGGAAGGGCAGUAAGUUAAUACCUUGCUGUUUUGACGUUACCAACAGAAUAAGCACCGGCUAACUUCGUG
This 484-nucleotide ribosomal RNA is filed under the name uncultured bacterium. Its description in RNAcentral is "partial 16S ribosomal RNA". It matches the Rfam family "Bacterial small subunit ribosomal RNA", at positions 30 to 507 of the family's 1533-position model. The record is from RNAcentral.